Non-coding RNA from Pelobates cultripes (western spadefoot toad), 370 nucleotides. The record is from the annotation of a GenBank genome assembly. NCBI's taxonomy places the organism in Eukaryota, Metazoa, Chordata, Amphibia, Anura, Pelobatidae.
CUCCCCUUUGCUGUUCUGUAAAUUUUAUCUUUCUUGCAAUGGAUUCUCAGUAUCCGGGUGCCACCAUUUUGUUCUCUUCUGUCCAUAAUGUCUACAGCUUGCCUUGCUGUUUGGUUCUUUUGAUGUCUGGAUUGUGGGUAAAUUAACUUGGCAACUGAAAUGGAACUUCGCUAAAAGAAACGCUUUGGGCACCAAAACUGCGUGCCUAAUUGGAUUUGACAUGUUUUCAGUCCCCUAUUCAUGUUACUUUUUUCUCCACGUUCAGAUCUCUUCAGUUUUGCUUAUAAAUUAAAUAAAUUUGGCAGCAUUCUCCACUCCAUUAGCUAUGCCACCCAUUUUCAUAACACAAGCCAGAAAAAAACAUUUGAUG